UACAGAGGGUGCGAGCGUUAAUCGGAAUUACUGGGCGUAAAGCGCGUGUAGGCAGCUUGGCAAGUCGGGUGUGAAAGCCCUGGGCUCAACCUAGGAAGUGCACUCGAAACUGCUUCGCUUGAGUAUCGGAGAGGAAAGCGGAAUUCUCGGUGUAGAGGUGAAAUUCGUAGAUAUCGAGAGGACCACCAGUGGCGAAGGCGGCUUUCUGGACGAUCACUGACGCUGAGACGCGAAAGCGUGGGGAGCAAACAGG
RNAcentral lists this ribosomal RNA (253 nucleotides) under uncultured bacterium. Its description in RNAcentral is "partial 16S ribosomal RNA". It matches the Rfam family "Bacterial small subunit ribosomal RNA", at positions 524 to 776 of the family's 1533-position model. The record is from RNAcentral.